Molecule: non-coding RNA, 24 nt
Filed under: Cricetulus griseus (Chinese hamster)
Lineage: Eukaryota; Metazoa; Chordata; Mammalia; Rodentia; Cricetidae
Source: RNAcentral
ACUCCUCUUGUGUUUUGAAUGUGG